GAUGAACGCUGGCGGCGUGCCUAAUACAUGCAAGUCGAGCGAACAGACGAGGAGCUUGCUCCUCUGACGUUAGCGGCGGACGGGUGAGUAACACGUGGAUAACCUACCUAUAAGACUGGGAUAACUUCGGGAAACCGGAGCUAAUACCGGAUAAUAUAUUGAACCGCAUGGUUCAAUAGUGAAAGACGGUUUUGCUGUCACUUAUAGAUGGAUCCGCGCCGCAUUAGCUAGUUGGUAAGGUAACGGCUUACCAAGGCAACGAUGCGUAGCCGACCUGAGAGGCUGGUCGGCCACACUGGAACUGAGCCACGGUCAAUACUCCUAAGGGAGGCAGCAGUAGGGAAUCUUCCGCAAUGGGCGAAAGCCUGACGGAGCAACGCCGCGUGAGUGAUGAAGGUCUUCGGAUCGUAAAACUCUGUUAUUAGGGAAGAACAACUGUGUAAGUAACUAUGCACGUCUUGACGGUACCUAAUCAGAAAGCAACGGCUAACUACGUG
This 497-nucleotide ribosomal RNA is filed under the name uncultured bacterium. RNAcentral's name for it is "partial 16S ribosomal RNA". It matches the Rfam family "Bacterial small subunit ribosomal RNA", at positions 28 to 507 of the family's 1533-position model. The record is from RNAcentral.